GACGAACGCUGGCGGCGUGCUUAACACAUGCAAGUCGAACGGAAAGGCCCUGCUUUUGUGGGGUUCUCGAGUGGCGAACGGGUGAGUAACAAGUGAGUAACCUGCCCUUGACUUUGGGAUAACUUCAGGAAACUGGGGCUAAUACCGGAUAGGAGCUCCUGCUGCAUGGUGGGGGUUGGAAAGUUUCGGCGGUUGGGGAUGGACUCGCGGCUUAUCAGCUUGUUGGUGGGGUAGUGGCUUACCAAGGCUUUGACGGGUAGCCGGCCUGAGAGGGUGACCGGCCACAUUGGGACUGAGAUACGGCCCAGACUCCUACGGGAGGCAGCAGUGGGGAAUAUUGCACAAUGGGCGGAAGCCUGAUGCAGCAACGCCGCGUGCGGGAUGACGGCCUUCGGGUUGUAAACCGCUUUCGCCUGUGACGAAGCGUGAGUGACGGUAAUGGGUAAAGAAGCACCGGCUAACUACGUG
This 468-nucleotide ribosomal RNA is filed under the name uncultured bacterium. RNAcentral describes it as "partial 16S ribosomal RNA". It matches the Rfam family "Bacterial small subunit ribosomal RNA", at positions 28 to 507 of the family's 1533-position model. The record is from RNAcentral.